GCCGGGAUGGUGGAAUUGGUAGACACAAGGGACUUAAAAUCCCUCGGAUGGUGACAUCCGUGCCAGUUCGAGACUGGUUCCCGGCA
RNAcentral lists this transfer RNA (86 nucleotides) under Treponema sp. RNAcentral's name for it is "tRNA-Leu". The record is from RNAcentral. Lineage: Bacteria; Pseudomonadati; Spirochaetota; Spirochaetia; Treponematales; Treponemataceae. RNAcentral also lists the same sequence under 1 other name.